GAGGGUAGAGCUCAGUGGUAGAGCGCAUGCCUAGCAUGCACGAGGUCCUGGAUUCAACCCCCAGUACUGCCA
This 72-nucleotide transfer RNA is filed under the name Camelus bactrianus (Bactrian camel). It matches the Rfam family "tRNA". From Rfam's summary of the family: Transfer RNA (tRNA) molecules are approximately 80 nucleotides in length. Their secondary structure includes four short double-helical elements and three loops (D, anti-codon, and T loops). The record is from Rfam by way of RNAcentral. Lineage: Eukaryota; Metazoa; Chordata; Mammalia; Artiodactyla; Camelidae. RNAcentral also lists the same sequence under 2 other names.